This is a long non-coding RNA of Sceloporus undulatus (fence lizard), 469 nucleotides long. RefSeq lists it as uncharacterized. Lineage: Eukaryota; Metazoa; Chordata; Lepidosauria; Squamata; Phrynosomatidae. The transcript is spliced from 2 exons. The record is from RefSeq and is a predicted model, not a curated record.
GCGCGUCCCAUGGCAACCAAGGCGCGUCACGGGGUUGGCUGCUUGGCAUGCUGCUUUGCUCCCCUCCUUCCCCUCCCGCCCUCCUUGCUUGCUGGGCCUGUCAAUCAUAGGGCUCGCGCGCCCAGAGGCUGCAAAGGAAAGGAGGCACACACAGAGAGGGCCUGGUGCGCGUGCUGGGGCUGCAAGGGCUCGGGGACGAGCUCCCUCUCCAGCCAAUCACAAGGAAGGCUGGGCGGGGAUGUUUGGGGGGAAGGAAGCAGGCAGGCAGGAGCGCGCGCCACCCCCGGGACUCACUCACUCACUCACUCGCUCGCGGGGCGGGAAGGGAAGUUGAAGUGUGUGCUUCCCUCAGGCUCCAGUCCCACCAGAGCACAGAACCGCAGGAGAGGCCCCUCUCCACACACACACACACAGGCCCCCGGUUGCAUGGUGAGCCUGCAUUGACAAGAAUGAAAACAGAAAAAUCUAG